AUGGGGCCCUAUGGGGUCUAUGGGUCUCUAUGGGUCCCUAUGGGGUCCCUAUGGGUCUCUAUGGGGUCUAUAGGGCUCUAUGGGGGCCGGUAUGGGGUUAUAUGGGGUAAUAUGGGAUCUAUGGGGCAUCUAUGGGGUCCUAUGGGGUCUUAUGGGGCUCUAUGGGGUCUAUGGGUCCCUAUGGGGCUCUGUGUGGUCUCUAUGGGUCUCUAUGGGUCUCUAUGGGUCUCUAUGGGUCCCUAUGGGUCCCUAUGGGUCUCUAUGGGGCUCUAUGGGGUCCUAUGGGUCUCUAUGGGGUCUCUAUGGGGUUUCUAUGGGGUCUAUGGGGUCUCUAUGGGGCCCUAUGGGGUCUCUAUGGGGUUCUAUGGGGUCUCUAUGGGUUCCUAUGGGUCCCUAUGGACUGUUAUGGGGUGGCUAUGGGGUAUCUAUGUGUCUCUAUGGGGUCCUAUGGGGUCUAUAGGGCCCAAUGUGGGGUCCUAUGGGUCCCUAUGGGUCCCUAUGGGGUCUAUGGGUCCCUAUGGGUCCCUAUGGGGUCCCUAUGGGUUCUAUGGGGUCUCUAUGGGUCUCUAUGGGUCUCUAUGGGGUUUUAUGGGGCUCUGUGGGUCUCUAUGGGGCUCUAUGGGGUCUGUGGGGUCUCUAUGUGUCCCUGUGGGGCUCUAUGUGGGAUCUAUGGGGCUCUAUGGGGUCUGUGGGGCCCUAUGGGGUCUCUAUGGGGUCAUUUGGGUCUCUAUGGGGUCUCUAUGGGUCCCUAUGGGGCUCUAUGUGGGGUCUAUGGGGUCUCUAUGGGUUUCUAUGGGGUCCAUAUGGGGCUCAAUGUGGUUUAUGGGGUCCUAUGGUGUCUCUAUGGGGUCAAUUGAGUCUCUAUGGGUCUCUAUGGGGUCUCUAUGGGUCUCUGUGGGGUCCUAUGUGGUCUUAUGGGGCUCAAUGGAGUCUAUGGGGUCCUAUGGGUCUCUAUGGGGUCCUAUAAGGUUCUAUGGGGUCUAUGGGUCUCUAUGGGUCUCUGUGGGGUCCUAUGGGGUCUUAUGGGGCUCAAUGGGGUCCUAUGGGUCUCUAUGGGGUUCUAUGGGGCUCUAUAUGGUCCUAUGGGUCUCUAUGGUGCCCUAUGGGUCUCUAUGGGGUUUCUAUGGGGCUGACCCCCAUCUAUGGGGUUUCUAUUCCCUUACAGAGCUCAGAACACAGGGAAGGGUCCCCCCCCCCCAGCACCGAUGUUCGAGGGGGUUUAUAACAACUCCCGGAUGCUGCACUUCCUCACUGCUGUGGUGGGUUCUCGCUGUGCCGUCCGUGUUCGCAGCGGUUCCACCUUCGAGGGAAUCUUCAGGACGCUCAGCUCCAAGUUUGAGCUGGCCUUGGAGGCCGUCCAUAGGGGCGGAUCCGGGGGACCCCGAAGGGAAGAGAUCGUGGACACGAUGGUGUUUGGGGUCAGCGACGUCGUCAGCGCCACCUUUAGGGACGUACAUGUGGGGGCUGCACCCGGAGGUGAGAUAUGGGGUCUAUAUAGGGUUAUAUGGGGGGAUAUGGGGUUCUAUGGGGGAUAUAGGGCUCUAUGGGGGGAUAUAGGGUUCUAUAGGGAUCUAUGGGGUCAUAUAGGUCCUAUGGGGUCCUAUGGGGUUCUAUGGGGUCCUAUGGGGCUCUAUGGUGUCUCUAUGGGGUCUCUAUGGGGCUCUAUAGGGCUCUAUGGGGUCCUAUGGAGCUCUAUGGGAUCCUAUGGAGUCCUAUGGGUCUCUAUGGGGCACUAUGAGGCUCUAUGGGGUCCUAUGGGGGGAUAUGGGGUCUCUAUGGGGUCCUAUGGAUCUCUAUGGGGCUCUAUGGGGUCCUAUAGGACACUAUGGGGCACUAUGGGGUUCCUAUGGGGUCCUAUGGGGUCCUAUAGGGCACUAUGGGGCUCUAUGGGGUCUCUAUGGGGUUUUAUGGGGUCCUAUAGGGCACUAUGGGUCUCUAUGGGGUCUCUAUGGGGUUUUAUGGGGUCCUAUAGGGCACUAUGGGGCUCUAUGGGGUCCUAUAGGACACUAUGGGGUCUCUAUGGGGUUCUAUGGGGUCCUAUGGGGUCCUAUAGGGCUCUAUGGGGUCCUAUGGGACUCUGUGGGGCUCUAUAGGGCACUAUGGGGCUCUAUGGGAUUCUGUGGGGCUCUAUGGGGUCCUAUAGGGCUCUAUGGCGUUUCUAUGGGGCUCUAUGGGGUCAUAUAGGGUCCUGGUGGGGGAUAUGGGGUUAUAUGGGGUUAUAUGGGGUCCUAUGGGGGGAUAUGGGGUUAUAUGGGGUCCUAUAGGACACUGUGGGGCUCUAUGGGGUCCUAUGGGGAGCUAUGGGGUGGAUAUGGGGCUCUAUGGGGUGGACACGAUGGUGUUUGGGGUCAGCGACGUCGUCAGCGCCACCUUUAGGGACGUACAUGUGGGGGCUGCACCCGGAGGUAACGGAUAUGGGGUUAUAUGGGGUUAUAUGGGGCCCUAUGGGGU
This is a long non-coding RNA of Coturnix japonica (Japanese quail), 2451 nucleotides long. The record is from Ensembl. Lineage: Eukaryota; Metazoa; Chordata; Aves; Galliformes; Phasianidae.